Beta vulgaris subsp. vulgaris (sugar beet) is the source of this 106-nucleotide non-coding RNA. The record is from Rfam. NCBI's taxonomy places the organism in Eukaryota, Viridiplantae, Streptophyta, Magnoliopsida, Caryophyllales, Amaranthaceae.
AUUCCAUGGUGAGGGUAUUCUCUUUCAUAUUCCUUAAACCGCCCGCAUGCUUCAUACAAACCUUUAUCCGAUUUGUGCAUGAAACCAUAGAUCUUUGCUCUUAACU